AUAUCAUCUGUCUCCUCACGACAUAUAGGACAGAGUCCGGCACUGACCGGUAGUAUCCCAAGCUUUACCAGGGCGUACACAGGCCUGCUACGUUUGGAAGCA
Long non-coding RNA from Haliotis rubra (blacklip abalone), 102 nucleotides. RefSeq lists it as uncharacterized. The record is from RefSeq and is a predicted model, not a curated record. NCBI's taxonomy places the organism in Eukaryota, Metazoa, Mollusca, Gastropoda, Lepetellida, Haliotidae. The transcript is spliced from 3 exons.